UACGGAGGGUGCAAGCGUUAAUCGGAAUUACUGGGCGUAAAGCGCACGUAGGUGGUUUGGUAAGUCGGAUGUGAAAGCCCUGGGCUUAACCUGGGAAUUGCAUUCGAUACUGUCUGACUAGAGUAUGGUAGAGGGUAGUGGAAUUCCAGGUGUAGCGGUGAAAUGCGUAGAUAUCUGGAGGAACAUCAGUGGCGAAGGCGGCUACCUGGACUAAUACUGACACUGAGGUGCGAAAGCGUGGGGAGCAAACAGG
RNAcentral lists this unclassified non-coding RNA (253 nucleotides) under uncultured Gammaproteobacteria bacterium. RNAcentral's name for it is "contains 16S-23S intergenic spacer region". It matches the Rfam family "Bacterial small subunit ribosomal RNA", at positions 524 to 776 of the family's 1533-position model. Lineage: Bacteria; Pseudomonadati; Pseudomonadota; Gammaproteobacteria. The record is from RNAcentral.